Molecule: ribosomal RNA, 253 nt
Filed under: uncultured bacterium
Lineage: Bacteria
Description: partial 16S ribosomal RNA
Rfam family: Bacterial small subunit ribosomal RNA
Source: RNAcentral
UACAGAGGGUGCAAGCGUUAAUCGGAAUUACUGGGCGUAAAGGGCGCGUAGGCGGCGUGUCAAGUCAGGCGUGAAAGCCCCGGGCUCAACCUGGGAACCGCGCUUGAGACUGGCAUGCUCGAGUUCGGGAGAGGAUGGUGGAAUUCCCAGUGUAGAGGUGAAAUUCGUAGAUAUUCGCAAGAACACCAGUGGCGAAGGCGGCUCACUGGCCCGAUACUGACGCUGAGGCACGAAAGCGUGGGGAGCAAACAGG